GCAGUGAGGUCUCCCCCAGGCUGAACAGACCAACUGACCUCAGCCACCCCUCAUAUGGCGUCCCCUCAAGGCCCUUCACAAUCUUCUUUGCCCCUCUUUUUUACUCCUCUUUGCUCUCUAAUAGUUUUUCUGCAUCAUUGUCUUUGGCUGUCUAUAUUUGCCUCUCAUUUCCUUUCCUCACCUUAUGCAGAAAAACCAAGACAGCAGGUAGUUCUCAGUAAGACCAAAUUUACUGCAGCUAGUUUCAAUUUCCAAUGUAGUAAUCAUUUUCAGCUGCAUUUUGGGGAAAAAAUGUAUUUCUGUUGUAUUUCUAGGCUUUUACUGCUUUCAUUUACAGUGCACACUAGGUUUCUUUGGGGGUGAGGGACAAAACUUUAAUGAUCUCCACUAUUAUCUCAUGGUAGGGUUCUCACAGCCUGUCAUCAGCAGGACACAGUUUAUCCACCAUUGACUUUUUCAGCUGGGAGAGAACAAAGGUGUAAAUGUCCAAAUCUCUGUGGUUCUGCCUUCUUGGCACUCUUUCUGAAAACUCUCAAAAUUGUUUUUGUGUGUGGUUGUCUGGGGGAAAUAGGGAAAUGAGAUGGGAAUAAGGUGAGAAGGUCUAGCAUAGAACUAGCAUAACUAGUUUUGAUUCCUCUCUCUAAGUCAAUCUUUGUUGGGGUUUUCUGUGAGUCUUUGAUCAGAAUCCAGGAAGAAAACAGGAGAAGAUUAAAGUUCAAAAGUGGCCAACUCAUCCAUGCAAUGGAGAGUGGAAUGGAAAUGAAUACAGCAGUAUGGCAGUCAUGUCUGUUGAAAGGAAGAGCUACUAAGUUUCCUAUAAAGGUUCCGAGGAGUAGGUUAAGACAAAAUAGGAUUCUUGUGGAUGCAACACGAUUGAUCAAAUGAGUACACAGAUCCUCUGGAUACUCCUGUGGGGGAACUCUUCAAUCUCUGACUUGGAGAAGUGCCAAUACCUUAAAAUGAACAAUAUUAAAGGAGUUUAUCAGAAGACUGGUGUGUGUUAGAGAACAGCCAUAAGGGUGAAGCUCAGCAGUGACCUUUCUUUAGAAGAUGUCAUGAUUGCAAAAGUACUUGGGAAGAAGAACUAGAGGUAUCUCUCUGUGCUGAAGAAGUAGAUGUCAUGGAAUACUGAAAUGCUGAUCAGAGUAUUCACUAGACAAAUACAAAUUUAGGAAAGGGUUCUGGGCUGUGUUUGGAUCAAAGAGUAUACCGAGGUCUAACAGCUUUUAAUUUCUGAUCUACUUAUAUAUUAUAUUGUUGUGUAUCAAUUUUCCAAAAAAAUCCUUUCCUUUCCUUUGUAAUAAUAGCUUUUCAAAUGAAUAGAUGUGCAUAAAUGAAGAAAUUAAGUUUUAUUUUAAAGUACAAAAGUCAAAAGACACCACUGUCUCCAUAAAAAGCUCACAAACAGGUAGAAUCAGCAUUUGGAUAAACUACUAUAAAAUUUCUUGCAACAGCUCCUCUUCACAAAAGCAUUCUCCAAAAAUAAAAGUUUGUAAUUACUAGAAACUUAAAAAGCAUAUGACAAAAAUAAAUUAAACAAAAAAAAAAAAAAGAAGAAGAAAAAAAGAAAAAAAAGAACACAGCAGUCAAACGUAAUUAAUUAAGCAUCACAUAUCUUUCCCAUCUAUUACUCAUCAUCAUCAACCUGUGUUGACAGGAUGUGGGCAAAGACAACCUGCGCUUGCCUUGAGCCUCUGCCGCAGUGGAUGCAGGAUGGAGACAGGAGAGGUUGGGGUUCCCGCUGUCGGGCUGGCAGGCUCGCUCUCCUGGGCCCGCCCGGCACUGAUUGUCACCACUGCCCUCACCAGUGCUGUGUGCUGUGUAGCAGCUCCCAGUCCUACCUAACGCCUUUGUCACUUUGGCAUUGAGAAGGUAAUGCUGGUGGCAUUGUAUUCCCUUGUUACUUAGACAUGCCUUUUCCAGACAAUUUUAAGACUGACACUGUAAGUCCUAAAAUUCUAUAAUAUUUUUUGUCUUGUUUCUCUAUCCAAUGAGCCGAACCUAAAACUGAUGGAAGUCAAUGACACCACUACAUUGACUGGGAUAGGUGGUGGUUUGUGUGCUAAGAGAAAACUCCCGAUAUUUUCUAGGAAAAAAAACAUCAAACCAAACUAAACAAACCAACCAACCAACCAACCAAGAUUUAAAUUAAAAUUCUUGUUUGGACAUUUAUACUUUAAAAACAGUGAUCUUCAUAUGUGUUUAUUUGAUCUGUAAUAUUUCAGGCAUCUAUCAAAAGCCCCAAGUAAAUAACACGGUUGAUCUAAAUCUGCAGGGUUUGAUGAAGUAGAUUAUACAGAAUGUACUCAUAUUUCAACACUAGCAUUUCACUACUUUUUCCAGUAUAUUUUUAAAUUACGAAUGCUUCCUCCAUUUGAAAUAAUGAUUUCAUUAGUCUUAUUCAAUAGUUCUAAUUUCGUAUCAGCAUAAAUAUAUUAAACCUGUCAUCAGGUGUUUCAGCAUCCAUUUAAAAACAUUAUUUCAUAUAUGUAUAUAAAAGAAUAGUUCUUAUAUUGUCAUGUUCUAAUAAUGCUCAGCUACAGAUUAUUCUGUUUGAUGGAAGAGUAAAGACAUUUGGAUGUCUAAUUCUUCAUUAGUCUUUUCCUUGCUGUAAUGAGCAAAGGUGUAAAUAUUAACACCUCUGAUUUUCAAGCAUUAGUUUAACCUAUCAUCCAGAAAUUCAAUUUCAUAUAUAGCCAAGCUACUUCAAAAUUGAACUACUUUACCCUUAGUGAGUAAUAUGACUUGAAUCUUUGAUUUACUGAUAUUUUGGUGUAUAAGAUUUCUGUUUCUGAAAUAUAACCUUUUAUUUAACCGCAACCUUUUUUGUUUAGUUAUGUUAAUUUAAAAUAUUUGAAAUGGCAUCUUUCAAAUGAUUCAAAGAUAAUGGAUUAAUUUCUGUUAUUGUUUGUAUGAUUUUCUCUUUAUAAAUUAUUUGUUGCAGACUUUGUAUUGUUUUACUGCUUGUAAUUGACAGCUUUAUAAUACCUAAGGGCAUAUUUGAAGUCUCUUUCUCCUUUCAAACACUCUAUCCACAGCAAUGGCUGGUUUUCUUUGUUUCUUUGCUGUCUGUGGAAAGCAGAUCAGAGGGUGCUACUGAAGGUGGUAGAAUAUUACAUUCUGUUGCAACUAGCAGUUUACUUAAGCUAUGUAACUAAGUGUCCUGUAAAAGCAAAAUGCAAUUGCCCUGGCAAAUCCAAUGUUUUCAUAAAUCAUGAGCAAAACUUUUAAGGUUGUGAAAACCUGAAAUAUUUGUAUCCACUUUUUAAUUGUUGAUGUGCUGAUGUCAAGCCACCGUGCAGUGUAUUUUUAGUAGCUCUCUCCAUGACUAGUUAUGUGUAGAAAUAAGAAGUAAGGGGGUAUCAUUUCUGGCAGAACUGGAGUGAAUUAGAAAUUCUUUUUUUGAGACAUUUUAAAAUAUUCACUUUUUUAACCUUCUUUAAAUCUACCUCUUGCUAUAUUUUGCAAGUGUAGGGACUUAAUGCAUGAUGCCUACAUAUGUGUACAUAAUAUUCUCUACCUUUUGUCUUUAAUAUUCCUUCAUUUUUAAUUAUUAAAGAUAAGUAUUUGAAUUAUAAAUAUUCUAGUUAUACAGGAAUAGGCAAAGCAGGCACAUACCCUCAGGCAAAAUUCUUCCAUUAUCCAUAAUCCUUCUGCCUCCUGCCUCCAUUUCUCUACCUCCUAUCUUUAUGUCGUCUCAAAAAACACAGAGGCAUUCUUUUAAACUAACCUUCUCCUCCCCACUUAAACCAUAGAAAUCCCUUCUCAAUAUGUAUAGGGGCCUAUUCCUUGAAGUGGGAUGUCAUACUUGUCCUAAAUAUAAUAAAGUGCUAUCUUCAAGGCAUUUCUGCAUCCAAAACACUCCCCAGAAACCUGCCUAGUCCUCCCAUCUAACCAGCCUGAAUGUCACAAAUCAUAGCACAGAAGCUGCUUUAUAGUGAAUCAUUAACAUUGUCAGGAAUGAGUUGGCAAGGAAAAAAAAAAAGCUUUCCAUUAGAGAACUGAAGAAGAAUAUACAAAUGACAGCAUUGUCAUUUCUCUUACAUUGUUUUAUAAAGUGCACAACUGAUUAGGAAGAGAUUAUUAUAGAAUAUAUACUCUGUGUGUGCAUACAUGACAAUUUUGUUUUCAUCCUCUAUGUUUAUAUGUAUGUAUGGAUGUGCUUUAGAUUAACUGUCUUACUUUAGGUUUUUGAAUUAUUUGAGUAGCAGUUUCAUUAUGUUGAAAGACUUUGCAUCCUCAACAAAUAUAACUAAGAGGUACAGAAAUGUAAGAUAUAUGUGGAAGAUGUUUCUAAUCUACAUAAAGAUUAAUAAAGAUAUUCCUAACUCCUAUUAGAAGGCAUCUGAAAAGGUCCUUUAGAAUAAUAAUUCUUCAGUAUAAAGAGACUGUUAUCUGAUUACAACUUGGAGGUAUGUGACUCUAAUGUAGGUGCUUUCUUGUCAAUUUUCCUGUUUGGCACAGCUUGAAUGGGAUAAUAUGCACUUAUAACAUGUAAUACAAUUAGUUCUCUUUUGAGCAUCAAAUAUUGUAAAGAAAGUCAUUUUGAUCAAUACAUGUGAUGCUUUUUAUAUAAAAACCUAAUAUAUUUGUGUUGUAAAUUAUGUUUUUUUUCCAUCUUCAUAUCUUAAAAGACAAUUGCAUGGAAUUAUACACGGCUUUGUUGUUCAAGGAGAUAAAAACGUGUCAAACCAUCACUGGCAAAAGAAAUGUCUGAGGAUAUACAGUAUACACCUAAAAAAAAGACGAUUGAUUUUCAAAGAAUGUUAAUUUGCUUUGACAAUGUGGUAGCUUUCUUUAAAUUGUUGUAAAAAGUAAUGAAAAGUAUGUAAAGCAGAAAAUAUUGCUCAGAAUUUCACAAGCAUUUGCACAAAUAAUUUUAGAGUGCUUUUCUUUGUCUUAGAUGGUCAUUUGCACAGUUAGGUCAUACUGACUACAUUGCUUUGAUGGAAAUCUGGAGUAUUUAAGCCAUUUCAGCUGAGUUUUGGAUUUAUCCUCAUGUCACUGACCGCAGGAUCUGGCUAUAUUCUGCAUAGUAAUUGUUAGCCAAAACCAACAAUUCCCCAAACUUUCAGUCUCCUACUGAUAUUUAGGUGUGGUUUCAGUGACAGCAUUACACAGACAGAGGGAAUCUAUUUUUUUCUCCUCUCAAAAAGGUUGAUUGUGCAAGAGCUGCUUCAGACAGAGCAAUUUACAUGGUAUCCAUCAACACACAAACGACUUCCUUCACAGGGCAACUGCCAGGAAUAUAUAGACUCCAAAGUACUGACACCAUAGCUGAGACAUGGCAGCCUAAUCAUGCUAAUACUCACAUGAUGUUGCCUCUAUAAUUACUACAGCUUGUCCCAAAACACAACUGGGAACUGGGUGAAAAGGACACUAUUCUUUCUACCUCUUUUCUGGUACAAUGGAGGUGAUUUUAAAGAAAGGUAAGAUGUGAAUACUAAGAGUAAUCCUAAUAAAAAUAAUAACACCUAAUAAAAAUAAUCAUAGAGUGAGUCUUUUCCUUUGAACAUUAUUCACAUCUUCCUCCAGGGAAUCUUGGGAGGUCUUUGCAUAAAGGUUUGAUCCCAUGGCUAGUCCACUUUGAGUACUGUUUGAGGUCCUAAGAAUUAAGCCUUACAGACAACCAAGGUGAAGUAGCUAUUAUCUGAUUGUUUCUAAUAUGAAGCCAUUACCUUUUUUACAGAAGAUGAAACUUCUACAGCCAGAGCCACUAAACACAGGCCCUUUUAUGACAGUGAGACUUUAAAUAGAAAUAUGCCAGAAAAGGAAAGGAGACAGGACAAGGUCCCAAAAUCCAUCAUUUCUCUAAGACAUGCCUCUAAGUAAGAGAGGCACAAGGAAGAAUUCCAUCUUAAGCAAGCAGUAAGAUUUUCUCUGCACUGGUAUACGGUUUGCUUGAUCAAGAAAAAGAAAAAAGGAGAGAAAAAAAGGAAACCAGUGUGAUUUACUGACCAUUUAUAGAGAAUUCUGUCUGAUAGGCAAAAAAAUGUAUGCAAAUAUGGUUUAUUACUGAUAAAAAACUGGAGAUUAAGUAACUCUUCCAUCAAUUAGAGAAAAUAUAGAUUUCUCUGUAUAGCAUGGCAUUGCUAACAUGUUACUGUCUUCUGUGUGUAUCUAGAGGAAAGCAUAAAAAUUAUUCCCUUUGGGAAACAGUA
Non-coding RNA from Taeniopygia guttata (zebra finch), 6161 nucleotides. Lineage: Eukaryota; Metazoa; Chordata; Aves; Passeriformes; Estrildidae. The record is from RefSeq and is a predicted model, not a curated record.